Molecule: ribosomal RNA, 2517 nt
Filed under: human metagenome
Description: bacterial LSU rRNA
Rfam family: Bacterial large subunit ribosomal RNA
Source: RNAcentral
UAGGUUUAUGGUGGAUGCCUAAAGGAGCUGAGAGGCGAAGAAGGCCGUGGUAAGCUGCGAAAAGCUACGGGGAAGAGCAAACAUCUAGUGAUCCGUAGAUAGCCGAAUGGGGUAACCCGUUAGUAGUGAUACUAACAUUGCGAGUCUGAAUAAAAUAGGACUGCAAGGCGGAACUGAGUGGAGUGAACCAUCUAAGUAACUCAAGGAAAAGAAAUCAAUAGAGAUUCCGAAAGUAGUGGCGAGCGAAAUUGGAAGAGUCCAAACCCUAUAAGGGUGUUGUAGGGCUGUGCGGGCUUAAAGCCGACAAGUUAGGAGAAAACUAUAUUUAUAGCAGAAAGAUCUGGGAAGGUCUGACAGAGAGGGUGAAAUCCCCGUAAGCGAAAUGAAUAUGGACUUGUUUGUACAGUACCUGAGUACGGCGGGGCACGAGAAACCCUGUUGGAAACUGGGUCGACCACGAUCCAAGACUAAAUACUACUCAAGCUACCGAUAGUGAAAAAGUACCGUGAGGGAAAGGUGAAAAGAACCCUAGUGAAGGGAGUGAAAUAGAACCUGAAACCAUAAACUAACAAUAUGUUACAGCCCGAAAGGGUGGUAGCGUGCCUUUUGUAGAAUGAGCCUGCGAGUUACGAUAUGUAGCAAGGUUAAAGAAUAGAAGUUCUGGAGCCUAAGGGAAACCAAGUCUGAAUAGGGCGAUUUAAGUUAUAUGUCGUAGACCCGAAGCCGGAGUGAUCUAGUCAUGAGCAGGUUGAAGCAAGGGUAAAACCUUGUGGAGGACCGAACUAUAAUCUGUUAAAAAAGGUAUGGAUGACUUGUGACUAGGAGUGAAAGGCUAAUCAAACCCGGAAAUAGCUGGUUCUCCCCGAAAUGCCUUUAGGGACAGCCUUAUAGUUAAGAUUAUCGGAGGUAAAGCACUAGUUGGACUAGGGGGCUUCACCGCCUACCAAACCCAAUUAAACUCUGAAUGCCGAUAAUUAAUAUAUAGGAGUGAGACUGCGUGCGCUAAGGUUCGCAAGUCAAAAGGGAAACAGCCCAGAUCGUCAGCUAAGGUCCCGAAAUACUACUUGAGUGUGAAAUGAAGUGUGGAUACAAAGACAGCCAGGAGGUUGGCUUAGAAGCAGCCAUUCCUUAAAAGAGUGCGUAAUAGCUCACUGGUCGAGUAUACAUGCGCAGAUAAUGUAACGGGGCUAAGCAGUAUACCGAAGCUACGGGUCUUAUGCAGUAUAAGCAUAAGGCGGUAGGGGAGCAUUCCAUGGACUGAUGAAGGUGUACCUGAGAGGGGCACUGGAGGGGAUGGAAGAGAGAAUGCAGGUAUAAGUACACGAAAAGAAAGGUGAGAUUCCUUUCCGCCGAAAACCUAAGGUUUCCUGGGUAAAGGUCAUCUGCCCAGGGUUAGUCGGCCCCUAAGGCCAGGGCGAAAGCCGUAGUCGAUGGGAAAUCGGUUCAUAUUCCGAUACCUUUUAUAAUUUCGAUGGCAGGACGCAUGAGGUGAAACCCGGCCGGCUAACGGAUGCCGGUCAAAGUAAGCGAGCCGUUAUAAAGGAUGAUAGGCAAAUCCGUCGUCCAAGGUAAGCUGCGACAGCGAGUGAAACUACGGUGGAACGAAGCGGGCGUAAUCAAGGUGCCGGGAAAUACUGUCUAAGGUUAGGUUAUAAAAGACCGUACCGUAAACCGACACAGGUAGAUGGGAUGAGAAAUCUAAGGCGCUCGUGAGAACUCGCGUUAAGGAAUUCGGCAAAUUACGCACGUAACUUCGGAAGAAGUGCGACCUCCUAGUUAUGAAAAUAAUAGAAGGAGGUGUCACAAAGCAGGUCCAGGCGACUGUUUAACAAAAACACAGCCAUCUGCGAAUCAGUAAUGAGACGUAUAGGUGGUGACACCUGCCCGGUGCUGGAAGGUUAAGAGGAGAGGUUAGUAGUAAUACGAAGCUUUGAAUUGAAGCCCCAGUAAACGGCGGCCGUAACUAUAACGGUCCUAAGGUAGCGAAAUUCCUUGUCGGGUAAGUUCCGACCCGCACGAAUGGUGUAACGACUCUGGACACUGUCUCAACGCGAGACACGGUGAAAUUUAUAUAUCGGUAAAGAAGCCGAUUACCCAUAGUUAGACGGAAAGACCCCGUGAACCUUUACUGCAACUUACUAUUGGGACUUGGCGUAUCAUGUGUAGAAUAGGUGGGAAGCUAUGAUACCUCAUCGUUAGGUGGGGAGGAGCUGACAAGUGAAAUACCACCCUUGAUAAGUCAGGUUUCUAACUCCUGCCCGUGAAACCGGGAGUGAGGAAAGUGGUAGGCAGGCAGUUUGACUGGGGCGGUCGCCUCCUAAAAGAUAACGGAGGUGCACGAAGGUCUCCUCGCACUGGUUGGAAAUCAGUGUAUGAGUGUAAAGGCACAAGGAGGCUUAACUGCGAGAGCGACAACUCAAGCAGGUACGAAAGUAGGUCUUAAUGAUCUGGCGGUAGCGAGUGGAAGUGCCGUCACUUAACGGAUAAAAGGUACUCCGGGGAUAACAGGCUGAUAUU